AAGACACUAGUAAAACCGACUAUUACAUCGCCUUGUCGAGGCGUAAUUGCGGGUUUGAAUCCCGCGUAUCUUA
This 73-nucleotide transfer RNA is filed under the name Epinephelus sexfasciatus (sixbar grouper). RNAcentral's name for it is "tRNA-Asp". It matches the Rfam family "tRNA". Rfam says of the family: Transfer RNA (tRNA) molecules are approximately 80 nucleotides in length. Their secondary structure includes four short double-helical elements and three loops (D, anti-codon, and T loops). The record is from RNAcentral. Lineage: Eukaryota; Metazoa; Chordata; Actinopteri; Perciformes; Serranidae.